This 71-nucleotide transfer RNA is filed under the name Loxodonta africana (African savanna elephant). It matches the Rfam family "tRNA". Rfam says of the family: Transfer RNA (tRNA) molecules are approximately 80 nucleotides in length. Their secondary structure includes four short double-helical elements and three loops (D, anti-codon, and T loops). Lineage: Eukaryota; Metazoa; Chordata; Mammalia; Proboscidea; Elephantidae. The record is from Rfam by way of RNAcentral.
GCAGUGAUGGUUCAGUGGUAGAAUUUUCUCCUUCCAUGCAAGAGACCAGGGUUCAAUUCCCAGCCAAUGCA